Molecule: ribosomal RNA, 292 nt
Filed under: uncultured prokaryote
Description: partial 16S ribosomal RNA
Rfam family: Bacterial small subunit ribosomal RNA
Source: RNAcentral
GUGUCAGCAGCCGCGGUAAUACGUAGGGUGCGAGCGUUAAUCGGAAUUACUGGGCGUAAAGCGUGCGCAGGCGGUUUUGUAAGACAGAGGUGAAAUCCCCGGGCUCAACCAGGGAACUGCCUUUGUGACUGCAAGGCUAGAGUACGGCAGAGGGGGAUGGGAUUCCGCGUGUAGCAGUGAAAUGCGUAGAUAUGCGGAGGAACACCGAUGGCGAAGGCAAUCCCCUGGGCCUGUACUGACGCUCAUGCACGAAAGCGUGGGGAGCAAACAGGAUUAGAAACCCCCGUAGUCC